Molecule: long non-coding RNA, 338 nt
Organism: Neofelis nebulosa (Clouded leopard)
Lineage: Eukaryota; Metazoa; Chordata; Mammalia; Carnivora; Felidae
Exons: 3
Source: RefSeq, a predicted model, not a curated record
CAGAUUCGAAGUUUAGAACAGUUACUGUGCCUGCUGAAAGUACAGAGCGGUAGAGACCUAGAGACCAGCUGGGAAGCUCCCGUAGUGACCCAACAAAGACAGACAACACGAGAAGAGGGGUGCAUGGAAGGAAGGAGGGGAAGACCAGCUCGGGACACGGGAAACUCGAAAUGGCCGUGUGGAACAGAAAAUGCUCUUGGAAGGCCCAGCAGUGGUUCAACUGCCAAAAUCAAAAGAUUCUCAUCGCUUCCUUAACCAUGAACUCUUGACAGGAUUGGCCCCCUCCUCCUUUCUGCAGGCCUUCUCCUACCCUACUAUUUCCAUCAGUCACCUUUUUG